Long non-coding RNA from Acanthopagrus latus (yellowfin seabream), 1511 nucleotides. RefSeq lists it as uncharacterized. NCBI's taxonomy places the organism in Eukaryota, Metazoa, Chordata, Actinopteri, Spariformes, Sparidae. The transcript is spliced from 3 exons. The record is from RefSeq and is a predicted model, not a curated record.
UUCUCCACCCACCACGUACAGCAUUACCUUAUGGGAGAUCCGCCAUUAUGUUAACGAAAGCACCAUGUCGAAGCGCAACAUGAAGUGUUCUGCUUUUGCUGGAAAGAUGAGCACAAAACACUCCAUCAUGUCCCAGCUGCAGAGGACAGAAGAGCGGCAUGGAUUGAGUUCAUUUUUGAAGGCAAUGUCUCAGCUACAGUUGGCAAAAAGCUGUUAGUGUGUGCUAACCACUUCUGACUUUCUCCAACCUCGGUCAGCACAAGGCAGGAGUAGUCCAGAGACUUUUUCUAAAAGGUGGGGUAUGUCAAACUUUGUGUGGAUUACCUGCAGAUGAGGGACAUACUCCCUGACUACCUGGCUGCAUUACAAUGAGAAUGCUGAUAGAGGACAAGCCACCACAUCAUUAGGGGAUCCUCUUUUCAAACUGAGCUUUCCAGGAAGGGAGAGUGCAGAGCCAAACCAGUGACGAUAGAGCCAACAUUCCACUGCUAUGAUGCACUGUUGGACCUGAUCUUCGAGAAGGUUUUCCAGGACCCUGUCCCAUUUGUGAAUGAGGUGCUGAAACUCAUCCUUGAAAACCACUCGGCUCAGUAUGAUAGACCCAGCAAGCUGGAUGUUAAAACCAGUUAUGUGUCGAGGUUCAACCAAGGACAGGUCUGAACCCAACAUACUGUCCUUCUGCAUGAGGAAACUCUGCACGAAUCCUCAGCACCACGCAGAGACAGGCAGCACAACUUUCACUCUCCGCCCCAGAGAGCCCCAGCACCAGCUUACAAAGCUUCAGUAGGCUACGUAUCAGUAUAUGCUGGACACAAUUCAGUAUAAAUUCAGCACUGAAUGUUCACAUCCAUGGCAACUUUCUUUGUUAUUAUUUUCAUAUUGAUAUUGAAGUUAAUAUAUAAAGUUAAACUGUUCCACUUCAGAUAUUUAUUUUCCUAUUAUUGUUAUUUUUUAUUUCAUGCAUGUCAACACAUGUUUACAAAUGUUUCUUACAAUAAAACAUUGUUACUAGCUGUUCUAUGUGUUUUCAUUGUUUGAUAUGUAAUUUUCAUAUUAACAAGUAAAAGAUAGUCAAGAUAAACUAUGAGCAAUGUAAGACAGAGGAACACCUUUUCGAUAAAUGAAUAUUAUUUCUGUGACUAAAAGCUUAUGCACUAUUCCCCUCAGAAGUAAAGGUCCAUAGUCUGCCCCACAGUGAAGCAUGGUGGUACAUUCAGGCAGAAAGCUUCUAGACUUCUUUGAUGGUUGCUCAGGAAGCUGCUGUAGUCUUCGUGUAACCCAGAAAUUAUGAAAGGAAAGUGAGUGACAAUAGAUAGUCACUUGUGGUGUUUCCAUAAGCAGAUAUUCUCGGGUUCUGUAGGCAUUUGUUCACAAUUGCCACAGGAACACCUGUUUUCAAGCAGAAUUUUUAUUAUUCAUUGGAAGCUAUGAUAGCUAAGCAAUCAUGUCACGUUUCUUCUGUAAUAUUUAUUUAAAGUUUAUAAACCAUUGUAACUGGUUAAAAAAAACAA